UACGUAGGGUGCAAGCGUUGUCCGGAAUUAUUGGGCGUAAAGAGCUCGUAGGCGGUCUGUCGCGUCGACUGUGAAAACCCGAGGCUUAACCUCGGGCCUGCAGUCGAUACGGGCAGACUAGAGUUCGGUAGGGGAGACUGGAAUUCCGGGUGUAGCGGUGAAAUGCGUAGAUAUCCGGAGGAACACCGGUGGCGAAGGCGGCUUCCUGGACCGACACUGACGCUGAGCGCGAAAGCGUGGGGAGCGAACAGG
This 252-nucleotide ribosomal RNA is filed under the name uncultured bacterium. RNAcentral describes it as "partial 16S ribosomal RNA". It matches the Rfam family "Bacterial small subunit ribosomal RNA", at positions 524 to 776 of the family's 1533-position model. The record is from RNAcentral.